CUCUCCCCGCCCCCUCCCCGUUCUUGCUGCUCCAAGCUGUGCUCACCUGCUCUGGGACCCGCCGGCCCCUGGGGCUGUGGUCGGACCGAGGCGCUGCGCGGCCCUCAGCGCGCAGGGGGACCACGAGCGUGUGCUGCGGCCCGUUUCCUCCGGCGUUAGCCCGCCUGCGGUUUAACCAGAGCCGGCGACCCGGGAGCAGGGGCUCAUGUGGCGUGGAGACCCCUGCGAUGCGAGUGCCACAGUCAGGCCCUUCCUAGACGGUCAGGCCAAGGCCCUGGUGACCAGGACCCCGGCGACAGCGAUGGCCGUCUCUGGUGCUGGGAUGUCGGCGGCUGGCUGUGAGGAGAAUGUUCAGGGGCCCUCGGCAUCCAGGGACCUGCUGCCGGAGGAGGAAUGCGAUGAUGAGGUAGAGCCCGAGGAGCCAGGGCCGGAGUCGGGGGCAUUUCUGAGCCCCGUGGGUGUGCACCUGUGUGCCCUGGGCUCCGUGGCGCUGUUCCUGCUCUACUGCUCCUACGCUCAGGAUCCUGCUCUGGCCAGCACUUACAUUUAAAGACCUGAGAGCCACU
Non-coding RNA from Oryctolagus cuniculus (rabbit), 566 nucleotides. Lineage: Eukaryota; Metazoa; Chordata; Mammalia; Lagomorpha; Leporidae. The record is from RefSeq and is a predicted model, not a curated record.